CUCAUUGUUGAUGCUGGAGCUCUGCCCCAUCUUGUGGAUCUGCUGAAGAGGCACAAUAAAGCACAAAACCUCGUGCAGUCAAUGGUGUUAUCCGGAGAGCAGUUGAUGCAAUCACCAAUCUUAAUAACAGCAUUAAAAGUCGCAGCAGGUGCAAAGAGCAGCUGCAGGAGCCUUGCGAACUUUGGCAUUUAAAAACGAUGAAAACAAAAAUCAGAUUGUUGAUUGCAAUGUACUACCUAUUCUUAUUCUAUUGCUGCGGUCCAAAGAUACGGGCAUACAGUAUGAAGCGGUUGGAGUCAAUGGAAAUCUGGUGCACUCAUC
Molecule: long non-coding RNA, 321 nt
Organism: Nicotiana tabacum (common tobacco)
Lineage: Eukaryota; Viridiplantae; Streptophyta; Magnoliopsida; Solanales; Solanaceae
Source: RefSeq, a predicted model, not a curated record